GAAUCUGCUUUUCUGCAGCAGUAAAUUGAAGGUGCUGGUAGAAGGGCCCCCAAGACCCACCCUCUAUUUUGUGGCUCUUUUUAAAUACAAAGUGCUAUGCUUUUUUUUUUUCUUUAGUUGUUUCUGAAACAUAAGGACCAGCCAUUAUUUAUAGCUACACACCAGGUGAACUUACUGUGCCCACUGAACCUCCCCGGUGUGGGGGUGACAAAGGAUCUCAGAGUUGAAGGCCUUCCUGCAGCGGGGAAACAGGACAGAAAGGGCCCGCCCCACGCAGCCCGGCCCGCUGGCCCCAUCACUCUCUGAAUGAGGGUGUGCGGCAGGCACCCGGCCGGCGGCCAAGGAGGGCUGGGGAGGCUCUCUCCACGCUUUUCAACACAGCAGGGCCGAGCGUCCUGCAAGGAGGAAGAGGCGGUGGGGGUCCAGGACAGGACUGGGGGCUCACGGGACGCUGCACGGAGCAGGGGCUCUGACGCCGGUAAGUGGGACGGAGCGGCCCCGCCGGCCGCAUCACGCUGGGCCCUGUGCUGGCCGGCCGUGGACGGAUCGUGGACACUGGCCCCAGGCCACACCCUGCCUGGAAGAUCACCCCAAGCUGGCAGGUUCAGGCUCUGAGGACUCCAUGCUGGGGAGGCCGCUGCAUGGCAGGUGGCAGCCUGGCAGAGGGAGGGGUCUGCGGAGCUCAGAGGGAGGCGGCAGAGACGGGGACAGAGACAGGGACAGAAGGAUGGCAGGAGGAGGAAGGAGGCAGAGACUGAGGAAAGGAAUGGGGUGCUUCCCAGGCCCAGCCACACACAGGCCUGUCUCCUGCUAGGCUCCAGGGAACCCUCUCCCUUACACCAGUUUCUAGCUGGGCUGUCUGGGGAGACCGCUCUGUUGGGGACAGGUUUUUACUGAUAUGGUAAAUGCCCACGAACUUUAUGCGAAAAGGUUAGAAAAACUUACCUGCUAGCGAAAGAAAGAGACCCGUAGACUGUGAGGCUGUCUGGGAAGGGGAGGGGUUUCUGGAAGGCGGUCAGUCCUUGCUGGCGGCAAGGAUAGCUGAUCCCACCCAGCCCCUCCUUACCAAAACCACACUGAGGGUCCGCUACCUGCGCAUUACCGCACACCAUGGUUUCUUACAUUGGUUUCAUACUGGCCUUAAUCCAAGGGUCAGGCAAGUCCCCCCUUACCCCAAGCCUGUGUUUUGCCCGGAGAGGUGGUGACAGCAUAUCCAAGUAUGCUUUUUGAAGGAGAGGGACCAAUAAACACAGCCUCCCGGGUUUCCUGCACUCCCUGUUUACAUGCAGCUCCCCCAGCCCCACCAGCUGGAGCCCCCGGUUCUGCGGUGCUGACACCCUGAGGACGCGAUACUCAUGGCCCAGCAUGUGCUCCACAGGACACUGCUGGGAGACUCAGCCAGAUGCCCCCAGAGCAGGCAGGUGCCUCUCAGUGUGAGCGCACCCUGCCCUAGCAGCCACUCUUCUGGGGAGCCACAGCCCCACCUUGGGUGUCCAUCACUAGGGCUGUGUGAUGAACCUCGUAGGCUCAGAUGGGGGUGGAGCAAAGAUGAACUGACAUCACCCACUGAAAGCAGGUAAUAACCUGAGAUUUAACAAUAGGCAAGGCCCUGGGGAUGCCUCUGGAGCAAGAGGCUUAGUGUUAAAGACAGACACUGGCACAGGGGCUCUUGGCUGGCCACUGCCGCUGCUUUGGCAAAGCCACAAGGUGUUUCUGUCUCAAUGAAUCACGAAAGGUUGCUCCCUGUGGUUGGCAGGAUAAUGCCCCCUGAAGUCAUCCACGUCCUGAUUUCUGGAACCUGUGAAUAUCUUAGGUAACGUGGUAAAAGAGAAUAGACAACACAGAUGGACUUAAGGUUGCCAAUCAGAUGACCUGAGGAACGGAGCCUGGUGAGGGCCCUUCAGAGGGCAGGGGGAGCAGGAGAAUCCAAGAAAGGCGUGCUGGGAGCAGGCUGGGGGGCACUGCUGCAGGCUCUGGAGGCCCGUGGGUGGGGAGUGUGGCCAACAGCUGGCUGACACGUCGAUUUUAACCCAGGGAGGCCUGCAUCCUGGACUACAGAACCGUGAGAUGACGCGUGCUGCUUGAAGGUGUCAAAAUUGUGAAAAUACGUUAACGCAGGAGGACAAAGCUCAUACAGCCCUCCGCACACACACACCCGCUUUGGGACUGGGUCGUUGAGGCGGAGAGGGAUGCAGCCACAGAAGAAAACUGCUUCUCGGACAUAAUACCUGUUUGUUCAAAAUUCAACAUCCCUGACGCUACAUGCUGCGGUUCUGAUGACUGUAUCUGAGAUAGAACUCAGAAUCUACACUUUCAGUGAGACUCCUCGGCGCUUCUGGUACAGGUGGCCAUCAGCCACACCGGGACCUUUGGGGAGCAACAGGGACGCAGUCAUCGAUCAGGCUGAGACCGCAGCUUACUCCGGGACUGAGGUGCGCAAGUGGAGGUGCACGGGGCACAGCGCCGGACCACGCUCCUUAGGACAUCGCGAGGAACAGCGUUAGCGGCUCGCCAGGGGUCUGACUUGUGCCCUGCCCAUCAUGCACAUUGGCAGAGGGUUUGCAGCCAGCUGAUGGUUCAAAGGCAAAGAGCAGCCACUCAAGUGUUGUCCUGCUUUCACAGGCAUGGGAAUUAUUUUCCAGCAUGUGAACUGGCUCCAGCUCCGGGCUGCUCUCCCACCCCGAGGUGCCUCCCCUACGCCUUUACCUAUGUCGGUGUCCAGCACCUCCUCGCCCUAGAAGGCCAUUUCUGUCCUUAUCUCCAAGAAGCAUGGCUGACUCAGAGAGUAUCUCAGGCCCCCAUCACCCCUGCAAGGGGCAGGCAAGCCCUGACCCAUCCUGGGCUUUGUCUGUCAGCAUACAGCCAUCACUGCCCUCUGGGGUGAGGCCUUGGGGGAGUCUGGCAUCUCGAGUUCCUACCAGCUGGACCCCACACAGGGGCCUCUAACACUGGCUGAAGCAGUGAGAGGGCAGGGGCCACAUGCUACCAUCACUCCUUUCUCGCAGGACAAACACCCAUGGCUUGGAAGGCUGGCUGCACCCCCCUCUUGUUUCAAGAGCAGCUAUGAGGCAAAGGCACAUGUGCACAGGAAGAAAGAUUCACCAUGUCAGCUCUGCAAAUAAGGGUUGAAAAACAAAAGGCUGGGACCCGGAAAUCACAGGAGGUGACCACGUGCGGUCGGGUGGGCGUGCACUGCAUUCAGUGGGCUUCAGUAGGGGAUCCUACAGAUGGAGCAAAUUCCCAUGGGGGGAGGAAAAGAGGAUUUUGCAAUACUGUCCUAAAAAUGUGCACUCUUACAUAAAUACACAAUGUCAACACCAGCCCUGAAGAGCAACCACACCUCGGUGCUUCGGUCCCCAACCUUCACCCUGACUGUCAUGUAUCAGUUCACAGCAGCCAUGGCAUCAGCCAGGAGCAGGCUUUAACAAAGCUGUGACAGCAAACCCAGGGGCAGUCACAGAAUCAAUUUUUCUUUCAUUAAUAAUAUCCCAAUCUGUAUGAUUCAUAUGGUAUAGUCAACACACACAACUACCAAUAAAAUCACUGAACAAAAAUGCCACCUGCCGAGCAAAAAGAACAAGAUGAAUAAGUGACUUGACACAGCUAAAUGAGCAGGAGACACUCUGUCUCCCCCAAACGAUGUCCAAAAUGCUUGACAUAUCACCAUUAUUGGGACAAGGGGCUAAGGAAGGCAGAGACAAGCAUUCCAGCCUGCUCCAUGGAAGGAUGAGCUCCAGGGUAUCUGUGACUCUGGCAGGUCACCACAGGACACUUCCCCGAAUCCCAGACAGGGAUUGCUGGCUGCUCAUCGGGUACCCUCCUCACCCUGCCCUCCUUCCUGGGCAGCCCCAGGCCCCAGGGCAAAACAUUCAGGCCACAGUGGUGCCACCGUCAGACCAGGUCCUUGUCUUCCUCCAAGCCUCAUUGAUUUUUGGCCAGAAGUGAAGGCGGGACUGUUCCCGAAGGCACCAGAGACUGCAGGAGCGGAGCCUCGGCGGGGCUGGCCAGCCCCUGCAUGGACAGUGGCCCAGGGCUGGCACAGUGUCAGGGGCUGGGGUGAAGGUCACACCUGGGACCUGGGUACAGAGCAGCCCUGGACCCAGAAGGCAGAGCAGCCAUGGUGGAGGGCGCCCUGACCAACCGUACUUUCUAUGGUGACAGGAACAUUCUAGAACUACAAUGUCCAGGGCAGCAGCCACCCAUGGGCCACAUGUGAACGGAGCCCCUGAAAUGUGGCCAUGGUGAUUCAGGAAUGAAAUUGCCUACUUCAUUCCAUUUUAAUGAAUGUAAAUCUAAAGAGCCCUGUGUGUCUGGUGGCCACUGCUUCCAACAGGGCCUGGGAGGCAUCCCACACCAGGAAUAAAGGCAGUGUGGGUCCCUCUGCCCUUUCCUGGCUGUGUGACCUUGGGUGACACAUGUCACCUCUGUAUUUCUUUGUCUGAGGCACGGGGCAUUGGAUUAGCAGAUCCCUGGGUCCACUUUCUGCAUCCUCACUUAAAUAUCUGAGCCACCUGCUCUGUUCAUAUUUGCCAUCUUUCCAAAAUCUUAGCUGGCUCUACACUGCUUACCAAACAUGGCUUCUGGGUGUGACUGGAGACCUUCACAGCCUGCACCCCUGCAUCUGCCACAGGAUGCUGGUCACACCUCCCGUGGCCCUGUGGUUCCCCGUUACUCUCACCCAAUCCCGGAGGAGACCUGCUCGGUGGCAGGGAUGGGCUCCAGGGGCUCCUCAGACCCACUCGGUGGGGGCUGCAGCUCUGGCUUAUCUAUCCCUCCUUAUUGUUUAUGUGCAGGGAUGUUGCGCUGUCAUGGCAACAGCAGGGCAGCGCAGCUCCCACUUGGGGCUGGCAGGCAGCAAGGGGAGACAGAGGCCUGGGAGUUCCGUCCCUGCCACUGAGCCAUGGUGUGGCCUCGGGAGGCCCUGAGCGCCUCCAGCUUUGAGGCCCUGACCUGAACAUGACGACGGCGACUCCCCGCCGCAGGUCGGUGGGAGCCUGACCCAAGCCAUUGCAUAGGCCGUGCGAGCCUCCCUCUCACCCCCGGGGACAGGCCACUCCUCCACUCGCACCGGCUCCCAGCAAAUGGUGAGAAUCUGAUGCCAGUUAUGGGGCAACAUCUCAAGUGGCUUUAUCUCCACCUCCCUUACUUAACCGGCCCCAAGUUCUGUAGAAUAAAAUUGUAAAAUGGUAAGGAUGCCUCCCUGCUCUCCCACUUCUGUUCUGGAUUAUCUCUGCCCAGUCCCCUUUGUUGAGUUUUCUCAUCUUCUUCGUUGUAAAAAAAGGAGGUGGAGGGGGAAGAACGGAAGCAAGAUGGAGAAGGUGCUCUGGAGUCGUUUGUGUCCCACCGACUAUAAGGGGCAAUAAAACCGGGGGCAGUGGGAUGCCUGUGACUCCUGACCCCUUCUCCCAGGCCCCAGGCUCAGGACUGAGGUUUGUCUCCAUCCUGACAGAACAGCAGGGCCACAGUGAAGGCUGAGAAAUGGGGGGACCAGAGGCCAGCACCCCAUAGCCUUUGACUCCCUGCCCUUUAUUUCUGUGCUAAGAUCUAUAGGCAGCUCCAUCAGUAAGUUGACAGAAUUCUCUACCUUCAGGGACCACAUUUAUCACCAGUUGUGUUGUUUCGUCACUGCAGUGAUGACUUCUGCUUUCUCGGUCGUCGUCGCGACAAGCCACCUUGCAGACACGGUGCUGACAGAAGCCGGGUGAACGGGGAGGGCCACAUCUCGGGGCCCCACAGAACGGGUGUCACUGCUGUGCCCUGCGGCCGGCAGGGUGCUGCCCAGGCCCCUCCCCAGUCCCUUCUCCUCACUCCUCCUGCCCCUCCCAUUUGCCCAGCACCAUUCAGUAGAAACCCAUCACCAGCCACAUGCAUGAGGUUAAAUUUUCUCAUAGAGACAUUUAAAGAAUAGGUGGAAUCGAUUUUAAUAUUACGUGCUUUCAAUGUAAUAGAUCCAAAAUAGUAUCAUCUCAACAUGCAAUAAAAAAAAUUAUGUCUUUGGAUUACUUACAGCAUAUUUCACAUGAUUGUUUUUUCAUACUAAGGUUUUGAAAACCAGUGUAGAUUUUACACUCUACAGCACAUCUCAGUUUGGACUGGCCACCUUUCAAGUGCCCAGAAGCCGUAGUAGGCAGCUCUAGUCCAUUCGGAUGUUGUGAGCUGAAUGUCUGUGUUCCCCCAAGUUCAUAUGUGGAAGCCCCGACCCCUGGCGUGAUGGCCUCUUGAUGUGGGGCCUCUGGGGUGUGACCCUAGAGGUCGUGAGGGUCGGUUUAGUGUCCACGAGGACUAGUGUCCUUAUAAGAAGGGCUCUGUCUCUCUCCCGGCCUCACUCGUCCUGCCACAGGAGGCCACAAAGAGGACAUGGCCAGCCACAAGUCAGGAAGAGCGUCCACACCAGAACCAGCCUCCCUGGCAUCCUGAUCCCAGGCUUCCUGCCUCCAGACUGGGAGAGAGAAGCACCUGUUCAGUGAGCUGCCCCAUCUGCGGCGCUCUGCGCUGCUCGGCCACCUGAGCUGACUGCGAGUUUCCGCAGACAAAAGCCCCUGAAAGGUCAGGCAAGCCUGAACUGUCCCAGAGGGCCAGGCGGGGGCAGGGGUGAUGGGGCGGGGGCCUCUGCACAUCCUCACCAUGUAUCUCGGUGCUCCACGCCAGUUACUGCACUUGGCCAUGUGUGCAGAGAGUUAAAUGUCCAGUUUCUAAAUUCACGAGGCUUCCCUGUUCAGUGGGGGCGACAGGAUAGUAAGACUCCUCUAUGUCGUGCUUCACUACUGAACCCACUGCAUAUUUGGGGAAAAGGGACAGAAGACCCACAACCAAUACAUGUGUAACUGAGGGGGGAAAAUGGUGCGGGGCUAGGGGGCCUCCAGGUGGAAGUGGGAUUAUCUGGGGACCAGGCAGGAGGAACCCACAACUUCUACUACCUACUGUUGGAGAUCUAAGAGGUUAUACUUGUCAUCGUCAAAAGGCCACCGACCAACACAAACAACAACGGUGUCCGUGGCAAGGGCCACGAUGGCAUUCGAUGUGGCAUCUAAUGUGACUCCCCCUCUUCCCAUGGUUUCCAGCUGUCCCUGGGCCACAUACUAAUUUUUUCCAUAUAUUUUCAGAUGCUAUCUUUUCCAACUGAUCAAACAUAAAGGAAUUAAAGGAAAAAGUGGAGAUGCAAGACCUGGGAACCAUUAAAAAAUUAAUUGCUCAGAUUUAUCUAAGUGACAAAAAAGUCCCAAACUUUCUCAAGGUCAGGAUUUUAAGUGUUUGAAAAGGGAGACCUGGAGAAGUUAGAA
Molecule: long non-coding RNA, 7280 nt
Organism: Manis javanica (Malayan pangolin)
Lineage: Eukaryota; Metazoa; Chordata; Mammalia; Pholidota; Manidae
Source: RefSeq, a predicted model, not a curated record